RNAcentral lists this ribosomal RNA (411 nucleotides) under grassland soil clone sl2_714. Its description in RNAcentral is "bacterial SSU rRNA". It matches the Rfam family "Bacterial small subunit ribosomal RNA", at positions 50 to 489 of the family's 1533-position model. The record is from RNAcentral.
AACACAUGCAAGUCGAACGGGGUAGCAAUACCCAGUGGCGAACGGGUGCGUAACACGUGAGGAACAUUCCUUCCGGUGGGGGAUAGCGCUAACGGCCGGGUAAUACCGCAUACGCUGUUCGGGGUGCAUACCCUGGAUCGGAAAGCAGCAAUGCGCCGGAAAGGUGCCUCGCGGCCUAUCAGCUAGUUGGUGAGGUAAUGGCUCACCAAGGCGACGACGGGUAGCUGGUCUGAGAGGAUGGCCAGCCACAUUGGGACUGAGACACGGCCCAGACUCCUACGGGAGGCAGCAGUGGGGAAUCUUGCGCAAUGGGCGAAAGCCUGACGCAGCGACGCCGCGUGUGGGAUGACGGCCUUCGGGUUGUAAACCACUGUCGCGAGGGACGAAGAUCUGACGGUACCUCGAAAGGAA